AUUGAACGCUGGCGGCAGGCCUAACACAUGCAAGUCGAGCGGAUGAAGGGAGCUUGCUCCUGGAUUCAGCGGCGGACGGGUGAGUAAUGCCUAGGAAUCUGCCUGGUAGUGGGGGAUAACGUCCGGAAACGGGCGCUAAUACCGCAUACGUCCUGAGGGAGAAAGUGGGGGAUCUUCGGACCUCACGCUAUCAGAUGAGCCUAGGUCGGAUUAGCUAGUUGGUGGGGUAAAGGCCUACCAAGGCGACGAUCCGUAAAUGGUCUGAGAGGAUGAUCAGUCACACGGGAACUGAGACACGCUCCAGACUCCUAAGUGAGACAGCAGUGGGGAAUAUUGGACAAUGGGCGAAAGCCUGAUCCAGCCAUGCGGCGUGUGUGAAGAAGGUCUUCGGAUUGUAAAGCACGUUAAGUUGGGAGGAAGAGCAGUAAGUUAAUACCUUGCUGUUUUGACGGUACCAACAGAAUAAGCACCGGCUAACUUCGUG
This 484-nucleotide ribosomal RNA is filed under the name uncultured bacterium. RNAcentral's name for it is "partial 16S ribosomal RNA". It matches the Rfam family "Bacterial small subunit ribosomal RNA", at positions 30 to 507 of the family's 1533-position model. The record is from RNAcentral.